AUGAACGCUGGCGGCGUGCCUAAUCCAUGCAAGUCGAGCGAACAGACGAGGAGCUUGCUCCUCUGACGUUAGCGGCGGACGGGUGAGUAACACGUGGAUAACCUACCUAUAAGACUGGGAUAACUUUGGGAAACCGGAGCUAAUACCGGAUAAUAUAUUUAACCGCAUGGUUCAAUAGUGAAAGACGGUUUUGCUGUCACUUAUAGAUGGAUCCGCGCCGCAUUAGCUAGUUGGUAAGGUAACGGCUUACCAAGGCGACGAUGCGUAGCCGACCUGAGAGGGUGAUCGGCCACACUGGAACUGAGACACGGUCCAGACUCCUACGGGAGGCAGCAGUAGGGAAUCUUCCGCAAUGGGCGAAAGCCUGACGGAGCAACGCCGCGUGAGUGAUGAAGGUCUUCGGAUCGUAAAACUCUGUUAUUAGGGAAGAACAAAUGUGUAAGUAACUAUGCACGUCUUGACGGUACCUAAUCAGAAAGCCACGGCUAACUACGUG
This 496-nucleotide ribosomal RNA is filed under the name uncultured bacterium. RNAcentral describes it as "partial 16S ribosomal RNA". It matches the Rfam family "Bacterial small subunit ribosomal RNA", at positions 29 to 507 of the family's 1533-position model. The record is from RNAcentral.